AGCCUCAUAGCUGAGCUGGUAGAACGUACGCUGUACGAAAGCGUUGGCGGCGUCCAUGCGUGGGUUCGAAUCCCACUGAGGCAC
RNAcentral lists this transfer RNA (84 nucleotides) under Echinostoma caproni. It matches the Rfam family "tRNA". From Rfam's summary of the family: Transfer RNA (tRNA) molecules are approximately 80 nucleotides in length. Their secondary structure includes four short double-helical elements and three loops (D, anti-codon, and T loops). Further hydrogen bonds mediate the characteristic L-shaped molecular structure. tRNAs have two regions of fundamental functional importance: the anti-codon, which is responsible for specific mRNA codon recognition, and the 3' end, to which the tRNAs corresponding amino acid is attached (by aminoacyl-tRNA synthetases). tRNAs cope with the degeneracy of the genetic code in two manners: having more than one tRNA (with a specific anti-codon) for a particular amino acid; and 'wobble' base-pairing, i.e. permitting non-standard base-pairing at the 3rd anti-codon position. The record is from Rfam by way of RNAcentral. Lineage: Eukaryota; Metazoa; Platyhelminthes; Trematoda; Plagiorchiida; Echinostomatidae.